This 1554-nucleotide ribosomal RNA is filed under the name Klebsiella pneumoniae. RNAcentral's name for it is "bacterial SSU rRNA". It matches the Rfam family "Bacterial small subunit ribosomal RNA". Lineage: Bacteria; Pseudomonadati; Pseudomonadota; Gammaproteobacteria; Enterobacterales; Enterobacteriaceae. The record is from RNAcentral.
ACUUAAAUUGAAGAGUUUGAUCAUGGCUCAGAUUGAACGCUGGCGGCAGGCCUAACACAUGCAAGUCGAGCGGUAGCACAGAGAGCUUGCUCUCGGGUGACGAGCGGCGGACGGGUGAGUAAUGUCUGGGAAACUGCCUGAUGGAGGGGGAUAACUACUGGAAACGGUAGCUAAUACCGCAUAAUGUCGCAAGACCAAAGUGGGGGACCUUCGGGCCUCAUGCCAUCAGAUGUGCCCAGAUGGGAUUAGCUAGUAGGUGGGGUAACGGCUCACCUAGGCGACGAUCCCUAGCUGGUCUGAGAGGAUGACCAGCCACACUGGAACUGAGACACGGUCCAGACUCCUACGGGAGGCAGCAGUGGGGAAUAUUGCACAAUGGGCGCAAGCCUGAUGCAGCCAUGCCGCGUGUGUGAAGAAGGCCUUCGGGUUGUAAAGCACUUUCAGCGGGGAGGAAGGCGAUAAGGUUAAUAACCUUGUCGAUUGACGUUACCCGCAGAAGAAGCACCGGCUAACUCCGUGCCAGCAGCCGCGGUAAUACGGAGGGUGCAAGCGUUAAUCGGAAUUACUGGGCGUAAAGCGCACGCAGGCGGUCUGUCAAGUCGGAUGUGAAAUCCCCGGGCUCAACCUGGGAACUGCAUUCGAAACUGGCAGGCUAGAGUCUUGUAGAGGGGGGUAGAAUUCCAGGUGUAGCGGUGAAAUGCGUAGAGAUCUGGAGGAAUACCGGUGGCGAAGGCGGCCCCCUGGACAAAGACUGACGCUCAGGUGCGAAAGCGUGGGGAGCAAACAGGAUUAGAUACCCUGGUAGUCCACGCCGUAAACGAUGUCGAUUUGGAGGUUGUGCCCUUGAGGCGUGGCUUCCGGAGCUAACGCGUUAAAUCGACCGCCUGGGGAGUACGGCCGCAAGGUUAAAACUCAAAUGAAUUGACGGGGGCCCGCACAAGCGGUGGAGCAUGUGGUUUAAUUCGAUGCAACGCGAAGAACCUUACCUGGUCUUGACAUCCACAGAACUUAGCAGAGAUGCUUUGGUGCCUUCGGGAACUGUGAGACAGGUGCUGCAUGGCUGUCGUCAGCUCGUGUUGUGAAAUGUUGGGUUAAGUCCCGCAACGAGCGCAACCCUUAUCCUUUGUUGCCAGCGGUCCGGCCGGGAACUCAAAGGAGACUGCCAGUGAUAAACUGGAGGAAGGUGGGGAUGACGUCAAGUCAUCAUGGCCCUUACGACCAGGGCUACACACGUGCUACAAUGGCAUAUACAAAGAGAAGCGACCUCGCGAGAGCAAGCGGACCUCAUAAAGUAUGUCGUAGUCCGGAUUGGAGUCUGCAACUCGACUCCAUGAAGUCGGAAUCGCUAGUAAUCGUAGAUCAGAAUGCUACGGUGAAUACGUUCCCGGGCCUUGUACACACCGCCCGUCACACCAUGGGAGUGGGUUGCAAAAGAAGUAGGUAGCUUAACCUUCGGGAGGGCGCUUACCACUUUGUGAUUCAUGACUGGGGUGAAGUCGUAACAAGGUAACCGUAGGGGAACCUGCGGUUGGAUCACCUCCUUACCUUAAAGAA